AAAAUAUAAUUGCUGUUAAUUUUGUAUUUGGGUGUUCAAAACCGAAAAUAGCAUUAAAAAUGAACACCAUUAACUGCCCUAUAAGCAACAAACCCACAAAGUUUGUCCGGGUCAGUGUCCUAUAUUAAUGCAUAGCCAACAACGAAAUAGAUUCCAACACAAAAACACCAUUCAAUAAUGAAUCACUUUGAUGGCCUCUGAUACAAAUCACAAGCAUAAUUCUGCCGCAAAUUAACAAAUUCCAACUCUACAGCCUGAAAACACAAAUGGGAACCGUUUCCGUUUUCCAAUUUCACCUUCAUGAUCCAAAACCAGAAGAAAAUAAUUCACCAUCUUUGACCCUGCCCACAACAAUAAUAUUAAUUGAUAACUAGCUAUUAUUCUUGUAAUGAUGAACACAGAGCUUCAAAGCCUGAAAAAAUUAGAAUCGGUAAGUCUGAAAAGUUCACAAGAACUUGAUGAUGAAGAAGAGCAUAGAUACACGAGUUUAAAAGACAUCAUUGUGAAUUCGCCUUCAAGCUCUGCAUUAAGUUGCGAAGCAUAUGAUUUCAACCCAUCAAAUAUUAUGAUUAGCAAUCUUCUGGUGAAACAUGCAGCUUCAGUUUACCUACAAUCAACUGCGAUUCUUAUGAACAGAAACCAAAACUGGUUCGCGAGAUUCUGGGAGAGUGUAAAGAACAGGAUUGCAUCAGUUUCAUGCUGGUAUUGUUGCCAUGUUUAUGACCCUUUACGAGCUUGUUU
This 741-nucleotide unclassified non-coding RNA is filed under the name Hevea brasiliensis (rubber tree). Lineage: Eukaryota; Viridiplantae; Streptophyta; Magnoliopsida; Malpighiales; Euphorbiaceae. The record is from RNAcentral.